CGCGCGGUAGAGCAGCCCGGUCAGCUCACCGGAACCCAUCCUCCGGAGACCGCCGGUUCAAAUCCGGCCCGCGCAA
RNAcentral lists this transfer RNA (76 nucleotides) under Streptomyces sp. UH6. RNAcentral describes it as "tRNA-Met". It matches the Rfam family "tRNA". From Rfam's summary of the family: Transfer RNA (tRNA) molecules are approximately 80 nucleotides in length. Their secondary structure includes four short double-helical elements and three loops (D, anti-codon, and T loops). Further hydrogen bonds mediate the characteristic L-shaped molecular structure. tRNAs have two regions of fundamental functional importance: the anti-codon, which is responsible for specific mRNA codon recognition, and the 3' end, to which the tRNAs corresponding amino acid is attached (by aminoacyl-tRNA synthetases). tRNAs cope with the degeneracy of the genetic code in two manners: having more than one tRNA (with a specific anti-codon) for a particular amino acid; and 'wobble' base-pairing, i.e. permitting non-standard base-pairing at the 3rd anti-codon position. The record is from RNAcentral. Lineage: Bacteria; Bacillati; Actinomycetota; Actinomycetes; Kitasatosporales; Streptomycetaceae.